GAUGAACGCUGGCGGCGUGCCUAAUACAUGCAAGUCGAGCGAACGGACGAGAAGCUUGCUUCUCUGAUGUUAGCGGCGGACGGGUGAGUAACACGUGGAUAACCUACCUAUAAGACUGGGAUAACUUCGGGAAACCGGAGCUAAUACCGGAUAAUAUUUUGAACCGCAUGGUUCAAAAGUGAAAGACGGUCUUGCUGUCACUUAUAGAUGGAUCCGCGCUGCAUUAGCUAGUUGGUAAGGUAACGGCUUACCAAGGCAACGAUGCAUAGCCGACCUGAGAGGGUGAUCGGCCACACUGGAACUGAGACACGGUCCAGACUCCUACGGGAGGCAGCAGUAGGGAAUCUUCCGCAAUGGGCGAAAGCCUGACGGAGCAACGCCGCGUGAGUGAUGAAGGUCUUCGGAUCGUAAAACUCUGUUAUUAGGGAAGAACAUAUGUGUAAGUAACUGUGCACAUCUUGACGGUACCUAAUCAGAAAGCCACGGCUAACUACGUGCCAGCAGCCGCGGUAAUACGUAGGUGGCAAGCGUUAUCCGGAAUUAUUGGGCGUAAAGCGCGCGUAGGCGGUUUUUUAAGUCUGAUGUGAAAGCCCACGGCUCAACCGUGGAGGGCCAUUGGAAACUGGAAAACUUGAGUGCAGAAGAGGAAAGUGGAAUUCCAUGUGUAGCGGUGAAAUGCGCAGAGAUAUGGAGGAACACCAGUGGCGAAGGCGACUUUCUGGUCUGUAACUGACGCUGAUGUGCGAAAGCGUGGGGAUCAAACAGGAUUAGAUACCCUGGUAGUCCACGCCGUAAACGAUGAGUGCUAAGUGUUAGGGGGUUUCCGCCCCUUAGUGCUGCAGCUAACGCAUUAAGCACUCCGCCUGGGGAGUACGACCGCAAGGUUGAAACUCAAAGGAAUUGACGGGGACCCGCACAAGCGGUGGAGCAUGUGGUUUAAUUCGAAGCAACGCGAAGAACCUUACCAAAUCUUGACAUCCUUUGACAACUCUAGAGAUAGAGCCUUCCCCUUCGGGGGACAAAGUGACAGGUGGUGCAUGGUUGUCGUCAGCUCGUGUCGUGAGAUGUUGGGUUAAGUCCCGCAACGAGCGCAACCCUUAAGCUUAGUUGCCAUCAUUAAGUUGGGCACUCUAAGUUGACUGCCGGUGACAAACCGGAGGAAGGUGGGGAUGACGUCAAAUCAUCAUGCCCCUUAUGAUUUGGGCUACACACGUGCUACAAUGGACAAUACAAAGGGCAGCGAAACCGCGAGGUCAAGCAAAUCCCAUAAAGUUGUUCUCAGUUCGGAUUGUAGUCUGCAACUCGACUACAUGAAGCUGGAAUCGCUAGUAAUCGUAGAUCAGCAUGCUACGGUGAAUACGUUCCCGGGUCU
Molecule: ribosomal RNA, 1372 nt
Filed under: uncultured bacterium
Lineage: Bacteria
Description: bacterial SSU rRNA
Rfam family: Bacterial small subunit ribosomal RNA
Source: RNAcentral